GGCAGAUUUGGAGGAACGAGAGAAAAACACAAACAACACAAAUGAAGAUCUCUGUCAAUUUACGGACUGCUAGGCAUACAAAAAACUUCUAUUGUUCCUGCCCAAAUUGGCUUAAUUUAUUUGGGCAUGCUUUCAUCACAUGCACAUCCCCACAAGGAUGGUGAAGAGGUUGCGGGGCAGUUUUUUACCGCAGGUACAAAAUGCGGGGCAAAGAUGCCCGAUUCUUAGAACGCAGUUUCUCCGAGAGACAUAGACAGUACACAGUAUAUCUGGAAGUACACGUAUGAAAAAUUAAAUAAAAUCCCCUCGGCACUCGCUGAAGCAUUUGAAA
Drosophila ficusphila is the source of this 331-nucleotide long non-coding RNA. RefSeq lists it as uncharacterized. The transcript has 2 exons. The record is from RefSeq and is a predicted model, not a curated record. Lineage: Eukaryota; Metazoa; Arthropoda; Insecta; Diptera; Drosophilidae.